GUGCAGACCUAACAAGAACCUAAUUAACCAUGAACGUGAUAUAUGCAGAUGCCUUCCUACCCACUGUAUGCAUGCCACUAGCACGUACUCAAUAUUUCCUAAAGCAACUUUCCCUUUUGUCUUUGAGCUUUCAUUAAUUCUCCAUCUAGCUAGCCAUUCAACAAUAUGCCCCAACCAAGUGCAUAGCAACAAAUUCAAAAACCACCUCUACAAAAAGCCAAAGCGUAUAUAUUUAUAUAUUUGUUAACUUUGGCUUUCAAGCCUCAUCGAUCCUGACCGUGAUGUGAUAGACAAAUGCAUAGGAAACAAGUUUUGCCCUACCAUGCAGGGAAAAAAACCGAAAAUAUGCAGGGUUGGAAGUUUCGAAUCUAAAACUUGUUAAAUUUGGAAACCAUCCAUGUUCGGUAAUUUGUAUGCCCUAAAAACUUAACAAACCUGUUGAACAAAGUGUAAACACGAAAAUUCUUGUAGCGAAUGAAACGAGAACACGUGUACGAAGUAGAUUUGUAUUCAUUUGAAUUUGUAGGUUACAAUCUUUGUUUACAAUUUUCCCUCUGAUUCAGUCAUCAAAUUUGAUGUAGAUGAUUGAUUGUUAAUCCAAGGGUCGCAAUGACUUGAUUUCGGACGAACGAUUGAACGAUUGCUUCAAGUUUUAAGCUUGAAAACAACGCGUAGACGGUCUUUUCUUCAAGUUAGGGUUGCGGCAAAGGUGUGGGAUUUUGUCGAUUCAAGGGUCUUGGCGACUUGAUCUUGAAUCGAACGUCGUUACAAGUUUAUGAGCUUGCAACAAAGUCUUGAAAGAAUCGGCACGAGUGCUUGUUUUGAUUCUUCAAGAGGAGUGCUUCAGCUUUAGUCGAGAGAAAGCUUCAGCUUUGAUUGAAUGUUCUUCGAAGAGAGCCUUGGCAGCGUAUUAGUCUUCAAAGGUUUGGUAAAGGUUCUUCUGAAUGCAAGAAUUUCCCCACCCUUAUGCUUGUGGGAGGACCUUGUAUUUAUAGGCUUCUCAAGGCUUGCCCUUGGGUGGAUUUGACUUUGAUUUAUGUCUUAAUUUGUCCAUGAGAGAAUUUAUGGAUGUUUUGUGUCUUAAUUUCAACCACUUUACUCCCUUGGCCGAAAUUAUGAGGCCUUGUUGCCUAUUUUGUGGGCAAUCUUCAAUUCUUACUUGUUUUAUGAAAAUGCCUUAACUUUCUUUCCGGUUUUGAGAGUAUUUUGAACCCUUGCCGAAUUUAAGAGGGAUUCUGCCUUGUUUGCCGAGUUUUUUGGGGAAGUUGUCUACUUCCUUUGCUUGAUUUGUGCCACAUGUCAUUAAUGACUUGUCCAUUUGUGAUGAGUCAUAUGCCACGUGGAGCUUUGUGAUGCAUCAUUUGUAUGCAACGAAAUUUACAUGUCUACAUAACGUAUAUCAAAUCACUUUUUAACCAAAAUGGUUCUUAAGAUUGACAUAACUCUUCACUUUGGUCCUAGAGAUUUGAGAUCAACAUAAGUGGUUCCUAAGUUUGUUCACCAUCAAUCAUUUUGAUACUUCCGUGACAAAUUCUGUUAAAUAAUGACUAAAAUAAUAAAAAUACUCUCAAUUCCAUAAACAAUGGGUCAAAAUGAUUUGACAAAAAUUGAGAUUACUUUUGUCAUUUUAUAAUGGAGAUUUUUCACGGGAUGAACAAAAUGAAUGAUGAUAGACAAACUCAGGACCCUAUCGAUUUCAAAUCUCAGAGACCAUUUUAGCUAAAAAAUCAUAUCAAAUUAACACUUAUCAGAUGAUUGUUAAUCGGCAAAACUAAUCAAUCAUCACCAAUCUUUUAAGUAUAUUUGUACAGUUGGUUUAAUUUGAUGGCACAAAUGGAGUUUGGAUACACGUGAUUACAAGUUUUUCAACAUGUACAUGUACAUGUUUUCGUGCCUGCAUGCAUUAACUUUAGGUGCUGAAAGAGUCAUUCUGAGGGGACCGUUGUGUCUUUUAACUAUUUUUUUUCUUUUAUAAAGUUCUUUGUUCUUUUCGUUUUUGGCGUUCUGGAAUGUCGAAAGAACAAACGUAAACAAUAAAACAUUUACUACUUGCUUGAGACGUUCAACUAUAUUAUAAAAUACAGUUCAAGAAUAGUCCAAGUCGUGAAACAUUUAGAUUAGUCCAACGCAAUCAAUAAAUUUGAUAAUAAUUUAAGAUCAUCUCCGAGAUGCUAAAAA
Molecule: long non-coding RNA, 2178 nt
Filed under: Malus domestica (apple)
Lineage: Eukaryota; Viridiplantae; Streptophyta; Magnoliopsida; Rosales; Rosaceae
Description: long non-coding RNA (MDOM_LNC014318)
Source: RNAcentral